UUCCGGUUGAUCCUGCCGGAGGACAUUGCUAUUGGGAUUCGAUUUAGCCAUGCUAGUCGCACGAACUUAGAAUUCGUGGCAGAAUAGCUCAGUAACACGUGGCCAAACUACCCUUCGGAACACAAUACCCUCGGGAAACUGAGGCUAAUAGUGUAUACCACAAUCCACCUGGAAUGAGGAUUGUGUCAAACGCUCCGGCGCCGAAGGAUGUGGCUGCGGCCGAUUAGGUAGACGGUGGGGUAACGGCCCACCGUGCCAAUAAUCGGUACGGGUCAUGAGAGUGAGAACCCGGAGACGGAAUCUGAGACAAGAUUCCGGGCCCUACGGGGCGCAGCAGGCGCGAAACCUUUACACUGCACGCCAGUGCGAUAAGGGAAUCCCAAGUGCGUAGGCAUAGAGCCUACGCUUUUUGUCCACCGUAGGGAGGUGGACGAAUAAGGGCUGGGCAAGACCGGUGCCAGCCGCCCGCGGUAAUACCGGCAGCCCGAGUGAUGGCCGAUCUUAUUGGGCCUAAAGCGUCUCGUAGCUGGCCGCACAAGUCCAUCGGAAAAUCCACCCGCUCAACGGGUGGGCGUCCGGUGGAAACUGUGUGGCUUGGGACCGGAAGGCGCGACGGGUACGUCCGGGGUAGGAGUGAAAUCCCGUAAUCCUGGACGGACCGCCGAUGGCGAAAGCACGUCGCGAGGACGGAUCCGACAGUGAGGGACGAAAGCCAGGGUCUCGAACCGGAUUAGAUACCCGGGUAGUCCUGGCCGUAAACAAUGUCUGUUAGGUGUGGCUCCCACUACGAGUGGGUGCUGUGCCGUAGGGAAGCCGCUAAACAGACCGCCUGGGAAGUACGUCCGCAAGGAUGAAACUUAAAGGAAUUGGCGGGGGAGCAC
RNAcentral lists this ribosomal RNA (881 nucleotides) under uncultured archaeon. RNAcentral describes it as "bacterial SSU rRNA". It matches the Rfam family "Archaeal small subunit ribosomal RNA", at positions 1 to 879 of the family's 1478-position model. The record is from RNAcentral.